RNAcentral lists this transfer RNA (75 nucleotides) under Nanobdellota archaeon. RNAcentral describes it as "Nanoarchaeota archaeon tRNA-Glu". It matches the Rfam family "tRNA". From Rfam's summary of the family: Transfer RNA (tRNA) molecules are approximately 80 nucleotides in length. Their secondary structure includes four short double-helical elements and three loops (D, anti-codon, and T loops). Further hydrogen bonds mediate the characteristic L-shaped molecular structure. tRNAs have two regions of fundamental functional importance: the anti-codon, which is responsible for specific mRNA codon recognition, and the 3' end, to which the tRNAs corresponding amino acid is attached (by aminoacyl-tRNA synthetases). tRNAs cope with the degeneracy of the genetic code in two manners: having more than one tRNA (with a specific anti-codon) for a particular amino acid; and 'wobble' base-pairing, i.e. permitting non-standard base-pairing at the 3rd anti-codon position. The record is from RNAcentral. Lineage: Archaea; Nanobdellati; Nanobdellota.
GCCUCGGUAGUGUAGUCCGGCCAAUCAUGCAGCCCUCUCACGGCUGCGACACGGGUUCAAAUCCCGUCCGAGGCA